GACAGAGGGUGCAAACGUUGUUCGGAAUUACUGGGCGUAAAGCGUGUGUAGGCGGCCGCGCAAGUCGGAUGUGAAAGCCCUGGGCUCAACCCAGGAAGUGCACCCGAUACUGCAUGGCUCGAGUACUGGAGAGGUUGGUGGAAUUCUCGGUGUAGAGGUGAAAUUCGUAGAUAUCGAGAGGAACACCGGUGGCGAAGGCGGCCAACUGGACAGAUACUGACGCUGAGGCGCGAAAGCCAGGGGAGCAAACGGG
RNAcentral lists this ribosomal RNA (253 nucleotides) under uncultured bacterium. Its description in RNAcentral is "partial 16S ribosomal RNA". It matches the Rfam family "Bacterial small subunit ribosomal RNA", at positions 524 to 776 of the family's 1533-position model. The record is from RNAcentral.